GAUGAACGCUAGCGGCAGGCUUAAUACAUGCCAGUCGAGGGGGCAGCAAUGUCACCGGCGAACGGGUGCGUAACGCGUAUGCAACCUACCUACAUCAGGGGGAUAGCCCUAGGAACCUGGGAUUAACACCGCAUAACAUAUGACCAGGCACCUUGUUAUAUUGAAAUAUUUAUAGGAUGUAGAUGGGCAUGCGUAGGAUUAGCUAGUUGGUAAGGUAACGGCUUACCAAGGCUACGAUCCUUAGGGGCUCUGAGAGGAGUAUCCCCCACACUGGCACUGAGAUACGGGCCAGACUCCUACGGGAGGCAGCAGUAGGGAAUAUUGGGCAAUGGAGGCAACUCUGACCAGCCAUGCCGCGUGCAGGAAGACGGUCCUCUGGAUUGUAAACUGCUUUUGAAUGGGAAGAAUGUGUGGCUUGCGAGCUAUAAUGACGGUACCAUUAGAAUAAGCCACGGCUAACUACGUGCCAGCAGCCGCGGUAA
RNAcentral lists this ribosomal RNA (482 nucleotides) under uncultured bacterium. RNAcentral describes it as "partial 16S ribosomal RNA". It matches the Rfam family "Bacterial small subunit ribosomal RNA", at positions 28 to 523 of the family's 1533-position model. The record is from RNAcentral.